ACAUCCGUUUAAGGGUUUUCUAGAUUAUUUUAGAUUAUGUUUUUGUUAGUUUUAUUUUUUAAGAUUUAUUUUUAUUAGUUUUAUUUUUUAAGAUUUGUUUUUAUUAGUUUCAUUUUUUAGGAUUUGUUUUUAUUAGUUUUAUUUCUUUAAGAUUUAUAUUUUAAUAUUUGUUUUUAUUAGUUUUAUUUUUUAGGAUUUGUUUUUAUUAGAUUUUUAUUUUAUU
Molecule: long non-coding RNA, 223 nt
Filed under: Vigna radiata
Lineage: Eukaryota; Viridiplantae; Streptophyta; Magnoliopsida; Fabales; Fabaceae
Description: long non-coding RNA (VRAD_LNC017025)
Source: RNAcentral